UACGGAGGGUGCGAGCGUUGUCCGGAAUCACUGGGCGUAAAGGGUGCGUAGGCGGCAUGUACAGUCAGGCGUGAAAUUCCCGGGCUCAACCUGGGGACUGCGUUUGAUACGUGCAGGCUAGAGUGGGGAAGAGGGUCGUGGAAUUCCCAGUGUAGAGGUGAAAUUCGUAGAUAUUGGGAAGAACACCGGUGGCGAAGGCGGCGACCUGGUCCUUUACUGACGCUGAGGCGCGAAAGCGUGGGGAGCAAACAGG
Molecule: ribosomal RNA, 253 nt
Filed under: uncultured bacterium
Lineage: Bacteria
Description: partial 16S ribosomal RNA
Rfam family: Bacterial small subunit ribosomal RNA
Source: RNAcentral